RNAcentral lists this ribosomal RNA (253 nucleotides) under uncultured bacterium. Its description in RNAcentral is "partial 16S ribosomal RNA". It matches the Rfam family "Bacterial small subunit ribosomal RNA", at positions 524 to 776 of the family's 1533-position model. The record is from RNAcentral.
UACGUAGGUGGCAAGCGUUGUCCGGAUUUACUGGGCGUAAAGGGCGUGCAGGCGGUUUGUUAAGUCUAGGGUAAAAGCUCCCGGCUCAACUGGGAGAGGUCCUUGGAUACUGGCAGACUUGAGGGGGGUAGAGGAGAGUGGAAUUCCCGGUGUAGUGGUGAUAUGCGUAGAUAUCGGGAGGAACACCAGUGGCGAAGGCGGCUCUCUGGGCCCUACCUGACGCUGAGACGCGAAAGCGUGGGGAGCGAACAGG